This 3791-nucleotide long non-coding RNA is filed under the name Sus scrofa (pig). RNAcentral describes it as "lncRNA (ENSSSCG00000054460.1)". The record is from RNAcentral. Lineage: Eukaryota; Metazoa; Chordata; Mammalia; Artiodactyla; Suidae.
GAUCCGAGCCACGUCUGCGACCUACACCACAGCUCACGGCAUCUCCGGAUCCUUAACCCACUGAGUGAGGCUAGGGAUCAAACCCGCGUCCCCGUGGGUACCAGUCGGAUUCAUUACCGCUGAGCCACAACAGGAGCUCCAACACUGACUUUUUUAAAAGGAGUCCAAGCCAGGUGUUUUGAAGGAUGUUCUGCGUUCUGGGUGUGUGUUUCCUCGUGGCUCAUCCAGGUGAAAUGUCUUUUGCUGGAAUACUUUGUCGGUGAGCUUCUGUACUUCUUGCCUCACACCAUAAGCCCUGCCAGUCCAGGUUGCUUCACUCUAUUUGAUCACUAGGCUAGUUAAGGUGGAGAUUGCCAGAUCUCUCCAUUCUAAAUCAAGAUGCCUUUUUCCCUCACCCUUUUUAUUCUCUUCUUUGAAAAAGCAUGUACGCUUUGGGGACCUAGUGUGGAGAGGAGGAAUUGUUCUGAUGAAUUGGCAGUGGAGAUUCCUUGGCCAUCUUGGGCUUCUCAUGCCACUGGCAAUAGGCAGAGAAGGGAGGUUUUUAUGAGUUGAAUUGACUGAUCUUGAUUGUCUCAGGGAGACUAGGCUGUGGAGACCGUGUUCAGAAACAUGGAGAUUUACUGAUCUUUUGUAUACUCCUUGACCAAUUGUCUUCGUGAGUGAAAAACUGUAAUGACCCACAGAGAAAAGACUUCCAAGGACUCAGACACUGUAGCAAUGACGAGUUUGGACUCCCCAUCUAGGAGAGAACCCUGAUCCAGCCAAGAUGCUGGGAGAGGUUAAAAGGCACAGGGAAUGGGCAGUGGGGAAAGGCAGUUACAAUGACCAACAUAGGCUUCACAGAGGUCAAGAGUGUGGCAAGAUGUUUUAUGUAACUUAAUUGCGUCUUGUCUUCCUCCUUUUUCUCUGAAAUGUUGUAUGGAUAACACCAACAUUGGCUAGGAGUUCCCUGGUGGCACAGUGGGUUAAGGAUCUGGUGGUGUCACUGCAGUGGCUCAGGUGACUGCUGUGGUGAGGGUUUAAUCCCUGGCCCAGGAAGUUUCACAUGUUGCAGGUGUGGCCAAACAAACAACAAACAAACACCCCCCCACACACACAUAUAUCAAUGUUUUAGGUUUAGCUGGGAAUAUGAGAAAAUUGAUACAAACUUACUGUGACAUGGUAGUUGAUAGAACUUCAUGCCCUCCCUGUAAUGGCCCAAUCUUUCCACCAGAUAAAGGACCAGAAAGAAAGCUGAAGUCAAAAAGUCUUGGCUGGUAUCUCUGUCUCAUCUCUAUCUCUAUCUCUCUAUCGAUUGAUUGAUCUAUCAAUCUAUCCAUCUAUCUAUCUAUCAUCUACCUACCAGAGUACACACACACACACACACACACACAAACACACACACAUGUGCUAUUGUCUAUCUCUCCAGAUCCAUCGUACUUGUACUCUGUCCUGCAAGGUUGAUAUGUAUAGAUUACAUCAGUGGGCUGUGCUCUCUUAUUUCUGGUUUGGUUUGGUCCAUGGUGAAAGCAUUGUGAGAUGAGGUUGGGGACCCAUCAGGCUGGCUGUGUUUCUUAUUACUGCUCCUCCAAUGUGAGUUUUUUCUCUUGGGCUCUAGUAACUGCUUCUGUCCCUCAUGUUUUGGCUGUGGGUUGGUAACCACUCCUCUAAUCCUAGUACAGGGUUACAGGAUGGUUAUCCUUAGGUUUUCCUAACCUUUACCCACACUUUUGUAAAGAAUCUAUUUUAAUAAACAUACUCCUUGAGUUAGCUUGCUUUGAGUAUAUCUUUUCAAAUUGGGAAACUGAUAAUUGGCAAGUAGAAUUACCAGAGAGAACUAUUUUGGGGAUGAAGAAUCUUGUUGCCUGGUCCUCUAGGUUAAAGUCAAAGGAAGAUCAAGUAGGUGUGUCUUCAAACCGAUGUCUUUGGCUUUUGCAAAACACUUUGUUCAUUAUUUUUAGGGUGUAUGUACCUCUUGUGCUAUGUGGCUUCUAAAAACAGACCUUGCAAUGACCAGAGAAACCUCCUAAAAUCAUCAACUAGAGAUCAUCAAUUCAAGAAGGAGGAGUUUUCUAAGUUUGGCCCCCUCAUAUAAUUAGGCAAACUCCUUUCUGCUCCAAGGCUACGUAUUCUCUUUGUACCAUCUCAAUACCAAAGAGAAUCACAGCCUACAGGAGGAAUGCCAGGGCACUGACAAUCCCUAGGGUUACUGCCUGCUGCUGUGCAGGCUAGAUUACCAGUGGCCACUGUCCCACUGCACAAACUUUCCUUGACGGAGAAGAGGUUCCCAACACCUUCAGGCCCCCGAGUUGGUUGCCACAUGACUCAAGCAAACAUGGUCAGAGUAGCACAGGGAGGUGAGGAAGUUCCUGAGUGCUUGGAAGGUGGUGGCCUCGAAGAAUGGCCAGAGUGAAGUCCCCAAGGCAGGCAUCCAAAUCAGAUAUCAGAAUCCCAGUCACAAGUGGCAGACCUGGAAGCCUGGACGUUUAUUAUAUGAGAUAAUGUCAACUUUUGGCCAUAGACAGGUUUUCAUUUUCCUUGCUGUCUGCCCCACAGGGGCAUGUCUUUUUACAGGGAGUACUGAAAGCUGAGGGCCUUGGCAGUUUACAAAAAUGUAGGUGAUAAGCAGGAGCCUAUAGAUAUAAAAACUAUUUCUACAUUUUUUUGGGGGAGUGGGCCUGUACCCAUGUACACCACAGCUCAUGGCAAUGCCAGAUCCUUAACCCACUGAGGAGGGCCAGGGAUCAAAGCUGCAUCCUCAUGGAUACGAGUCAGAUUCAUCUCCACUGAGUCAAGACGGGAACUCCCAGAAGCAAAUUCUUACCUUGGAACCCAGAGAACUGCAAUGAUACAUCCUGACUUUCCCAGACCUCAGCAACCUAUGGAUUUAAAGGGACCAAAAUUAAAAAAAAAUUUUUUUUAAAACUGUCCCUCCCAGAUUUUCUGCUUAUUUUUUUGCCACCAUUUUGUUGUUUUAUUGGCGCUGUUGAAUAUUGGGUUUUAAAGACAUUAAAACUAAUUCAUUUCUGUUGGUAUUGGAGAAGAAAGAGUCUGUGGUCUUGCUUUCCUCUGCAUCUUUGUUUUUCAACAGCUCUUAUUUUUAGCUGUGAUAAAUGUGGGUGAAAUAAAUGUACAACAUGAAGGAAACAAAACUGGAAACGCAUUCUAAUCAACGAUGAGCAUAAGAUGUUCAUUAUUUUGCCAGAAGGUGGUAGCAAAGUUACAAUCAGACCUUGAGUGAAAACGUUCCAAGUGUCAACAUUCAACAAAAACCAAACCAAAUCAAAUGAAAACAAAAAACCAAGAAUAAGCUGGAAAACAAUGAAAUAUCACUUACUUAUUUAAUAUUUGAUUUCUACCUUAUAGAACUCAAUAUCAUUAAAAAAACUGUAAAAUAAAUACAAUUCUUAAAUUUGAUGAAAUGAAUGAUUAUUUAAAAAUUCUUCAAAAGUCAAAGGCUUUUUUUUUUUUUUUGUCUUUUUUUAGUUGCACCUGAGGCAUAUGGAAAUUCUCAGGCUAGGGGUGUAAUCAGAGCUGUAGAUGCCAGCCUACACCACAGCUACAGCAACACCAGAUCUGAGCCGUACCACAUCUGCACCCUACACCAGAGCUCACAGCAAGGCUGACUCCUUAACCUACUGAAUUCGAACCCGAAUUCUCAUGGAUACUAGUUGGGUUUGUUGCCAUGGAAACUCCUUCAAAGGCUCUUUAUCAAACUAAAUUUCUACCUUGUCACCCAUACGCGCUAUGGAAUUAAAGAGAUUGGGUAUGAAAAUGAAAUUAAUGGUAAACCAAUAAAAUUCAUUGCAUUC